UUUAAUUUAAGUGUAUUUUUUCUUAAUUUUUUUUCUUUGCCUUUCUCAUUGAUUUCUUAGUUUUUAUGGGGUGGAAGUGAAAGAAGAGAGGUAAAAUAAAUUUUUGGAUGUUGUAUUUAAACUGAUUUUGAUAUGGAAAGAGUGAUUAGGCCAAGUGCAAAAAGGUAAUAUUUACAGUUUUCGGAACAUCUCUUGACUUGUCGAUAGGGGUAUGGCUGUGUAGUGGCUAAAUUUGGCAGUGAUCUGGUAUGUGGACAAGUACGAUGAACGACUCCACCAGUUAAGUGCAGCAUCACCUUUGCAGACAAUGGAAUAUUCCGGACACAGGGUGCAGUCACUAUCAUAGCAGCGAAGAGUUGCCUCGAGCACUUUUGGUCAGCUUGCGAGCGAAGAGUACAGAUGUUACCAGUCGUCUCUAUUUUGCAGUCAGAAGAUUGAAAAGUUUGCCGCACAUGGGAAGUACGUGCACUACCUGAUUGAGGGAUCGGUAUUGAUGUCUGGCUUUGGCUUCUACCACUGGGUUUUCCAGCUUGGAACCAUCCAGGAUUUCUUGGAGAGUUGUCUUUCUUUGACCUGUUCUUGGUAUAGCCUUUAGUGAACAUUUUGA
Molecule: long non-coding RNA, 607 nt
Organism: Mytilus californianus (California mussel)
Lineage: Eukaryota; Metazoa; Mollusca; Bivalvia; Mytilida; Mytilidae
Exons: 3
Source: RefSeq, a predicted model, not a curated record